This 476-nucleotide ribosomal RNA is filed under the name uncultured bacterium. RNAcentral's name for it is "bacterial SSU rRNA". It matches the Rfam family "Bacterial small subunit ribosomal RNA", at positions 30 to 521 of the family's 1533-position model. The record is from RNAcentral.
AUUGAACGCUGGCGGCAUGCCUUACACAUGCAAGUCGAACGGCAGCACGGGAGCAAUCCUGGUGGCGAGUGGCGAACGGGUGAGUAAUAUAUCGGAACGUGCCCAGUCGUGGGGGAUAACGUAGCGAAAGUUACGCUAAUACCGCAUACGAUCUAUGGAUGAAAGCGGGGGAUCGCAAGACCUCGCGCGAUUGGAGCGGCCGAUAUCAGAUUAGGUAGUUGGUGGGGUAAAGGCUCACCAAGCCGACGAUCCAUAGCUGGUUUGAGAGGAUGAUCAGCCACACUGGGACUGAGACACGGUCCAGACUCCUACGGGAGGCAGCAGUGGGGAAUUUUCCGCAAUGGGCGAAAGCCUGACGGAGCAAUACCGCGUGAGGGAAGAAUGCCUAUGGGUUGUAAACCUCUUUUUCAGGGAGGAAUAAAAUGACGUGUACCUGAAGAAUAAGCAUCGGCUAACUCCGUGCCAGCAGCCGCAGU